AUCUAUGGCCAUGCCACCCUGAAUGCACCUGAUCUUGUCUGACCUCAGAAGCUAAGCAAGGUCAGGCCUGGUUAGUACUUGGAUGGGAGACCACGUGGGAAUACCCGGUGUUAUAGGCA
RNAcentral lists this ribosomal RNA (119 nucleotides) under Cebus imitator (Panamanian white-faced capuchin). The record is from RNAcentral. Lineage: Eukaryota; Metazoa; Chordata; Mammalia; Primates; Cebidae.